AAGAUUGCGUUGAUGGAAAAGAGUAUCUGUCAUUCUCCAUAAAAAGCGAACCCGGGACGGUGGAAGCCGGGAUAUGGAUUUACAGGGAAGGGCGUUCCGGAGCAUGUUGCUUUGAAAAGAGGCCGUUUUGUAAACGGCAAUUAGGGUGGAACCGCGGGUAUACUCUCGUCCCUAUG
This 176-nucleotide non-coding RNA is filed under the name Peribacillus simplex. RNAcentral's name for it is "Bacillus simplex T-box". It matches the Rfam family "T-box leader". From Rfam's summary of the family: Uncharged tRNA acts as the effector for transcription antitermination of genes in the T-box leader family. Lineage: Bacteria; Bacillati; Bacillota; Bacilli; Caryophanales; Bacillaceae. The record is from RNAcentral.